GAGGGGGCAGCAGGGAAAGCUCCAGCUGAUCUGCAAUGCCCUUCAAGCCCAGAGGCGGGAUGCCAGCCCGUCAUGCUCUAACCUGGAAAAUCAAGCCCAGUUUCCCCAAAGAGCUAAAGAAUUAGGCACACCUUCUGGAUCCAGUGAACCAGUGUCCCAAGAACACACCCGGAGACAUUGAAGAGGACAUCACCUCUCAGUGCUGCUGGAAAUCCUGGCAUAGCUGAUGCUGGGCACAGUUCUCGUGGCUUCAGCACUCUCCCUGCCUGUAGAUAGCUCCCUCCCUCUAGAUAGCUCCCUUCCUCCAGCCCCCAGACACUGCCCAUCACCUUUUUUUCUCUCCACAUGUCCUCCCUUUUGAUAGCUCUGCCUCACCAGCCCUCAGCCUAUCCAUCACCUUUUCUUCCCCUCCACUCUCCCUCCCUGUUGACAGCUCCCUACCUCCAGCCCUCAGACCCUGCCCAUCCCCCUUUUCCCUCCCAUCUCAUCUCUUUGUUUCAUCUUCCAUAUAAUAAACGGUUUGGCUUCUUCA
Long non-coding RNA from Vidua macroura (Pin-tailed whydah), 532 nucleotides. RefSeq lists it as uncharacterized. Lineage: Eukaryota; Metazoa; Chordata; Aves; Passeriformes; Viduidae. The transcript has 2 exons. The record is from RefSeq and is a predicted model, not a curated record.